GGGCCCGCACAAGCGGUGGAGCAUGUGGUUUAAUUCGAUGAUACGCGAGGAACCUUACCAGGGCUUAAAUGUAAGUUGCAUUAGCUAGAGAUAGCUAUUUCUUCGGACUACUUACAAGGUGCUGCAUGGUUGUCGUCAGCUCGUGCCGUGAGGUGUCAGGUUAAGUCCUAUAACGAGCGCAACCCCUGUCGUUAGUUGCCAGCAUGUAAAGAUGGGGACUCUAGCGAGACUGCCGGUGCAAACCGAGAGGAAGGUGGGGAUGACGUCAAAUCAUCACGGCCCUUACGUCCUGGCUACACACGUGCUACAAUGGUAUGGACAAUGAGCAGCCACUAUGCGAAUAGGAGCG
RNAcentral lists this ribosomal RNA (349 nucleotides) under uncultured bacterium. Its description in RNAcentral is "bacterial SSU rRNA". It matches the Rfam family "Bacterial small subunit ribosomal RNA", at positions 917 to 1269 of the family's 1533-position model. The record is from RNAcentral.